CUGCGGUAAAUACGUUCCCGGGCCUUGUACACACCGCCCGUCAAGCCAUGGAAGCUGGGGGUACCUGAAGUACGUAACCGCAAGGAGCGUCCUAGGGUAAAACUGGUAACUGGGGCU
Molecule: ribosomal RNA, 117 nt
Filed under: uncultured bacterium
Lineage: Bacteria
Description: partial 16S ribosomal RNA
Rfam family: Bacterial small subunit ribosomal RNA
Source: RNAcentral